Molecule: long non-coding RNA, 666 nt
Filed under: Homo sapiens (human)
Lineage: Eukaryota; Metazoa; Chordata; Mammalia; Primates; Hominidae
Description: HSALNT0235477
Source: RNAcentral
CAACCCUGCUUCCAGAAGCCUAGGGUUAACAUCUGCUCCUUCCUCCUGUUUGCAUUCAGUGAAAUCCUCUCCUCUCCCAGGAGUUUCCACAUAAAACCUGCCUCUUUGUUUAUUAAGAAUUGUUUACAGAACUCUCAAGCAGCAAAGGCAAAGUACAGAAGAUAAAUAAGAGCAAGCUGGCCGGUGCGUGCGACUGGAUGGACAACAUCUUUACCCACAUGUCUGCAUCAGCUCUGCGUUGUUCACCGACAAAUCCCGUGUCUGGAAGAGUCCUGGCAGGCUGCACGGGCUGGAGAGAGAGCGAGCUGGUUCUUUAGAACAGAUGGAUAUUCACCAUAAGAUGUAGUUUAUGGACAAGAGUAAUUUGGAAAUGAAAAAGGAAGACAGUAAGGAGGCCUCCCCUUCAAGAGGGUUUCAUGACAAGCACCAACACCAGGCAGAGUCCACCAUGAAGGCAAGUGGCAGUGUCCCAAGGAGAGCCCGCUGGCCAGGAGGGCACCGCAAGCUUGGACACAGCAGGGGCACUGGAGAUGGGUCCACGAACCGCGUGCGCAGCCCAGGAGGCUGGCACAACUGGUGUCUGCAUGAAGACUAGGAACAGCUGGCUUCUUAUCUCACACCAUACACAAACAUCAAUUUAGGAUACAUUAAAGGUAUAAAUGCAAA